RNAcentral lists this ribosomal RNA (506 nucleotides) under uncultured bacterium. RNAcentral describes it as "partial 16S ribosomal RNA". It matches the Rfam family "Bacterial small subunit ribosomal RNA", at positions 28 to 523 of the family's 1533-position model. The record is from RNAcentral.
GAUGAACGCUAGCUACAGGCUUAACACAUGCAAGUCGAGGGGUAACGAGAGGAAAGCUUGCUUUCCUUGUCGACGACCGGCGCACGGGUGAGUAACGCGUAUCCAACCUGCCCCCAACUAGGGAAUAACCUUGCGAAAGUAAGACUAAUACCCUAUAAUUUCCUCAGAUGACAUCUGACGAGGAAUAAAGAUUUAUCGGUUGUGGAUGGGGAUGCGUCUGAUUAGCUUGUUGGCGGGGUAACGGCCCACCAAGGCAACGAUCAGUAGGGGUUCUGAGAGGAAGGUCCGCCACAUUGGGACUGAGACACGGUCCAAACUCCUACGGGAGGCAGCAGUGAGGAAUAUUGGUCAAUGGGCGGAAGCCUGAACCAGCCAAGUAGCGUGCAGGAUGACGGCCCUAUGGGUUGUAAACUGCUUUUAUACAGGAAUAAAGUUAGCCACGUGUGGUUAUUUGUAGGUACUGUAUGAAUAAGGACCGGCUAAUUCCGUGCCAGCAGCCGCAGUAA